Lethenteron reissneri (Far Eastern brook lamprey) is the source of this 947-nucleotide long non-coding RNA. RefSeq lists it as uncharacterized. The record is from RefSeq and is a predicted model, not a curated record. Lineage: Eukaryota; Metazoa; Chordata; Hyperoartia; Petromyzontiformes; Petromyzontidae.
GGAGGGAAUCCAACGAAGCCGGGCAAGCCAGGCGCGCAAAUGAGUGAGCGCCGGCCGGCCUGCCAACCGCGCCAAUUGGAGUUGCGAGGCACUUUCCCACAGCCACCACAAUGCGGGCGUAUAGCCGGCAGCGACGGAGUGCGGCUGGGAUCACGCGCCGCCGUCGGCAGGAGAGGCGAACAUGGUCGUCACUUUACACGCCCCGCGUGCACAAAGCACGGCCGGGGGAGGCACUCCCUUCACCACGGUCUGCACUGCGACAUUGCCACCUUGGGGGAACGGAUGUUUCGGCUGCUUGUUGCGUCGAUCGCGCAUCGGUGACCGCGCUCGACGCGAGGCAAGCACCCGCCCUCCGCGCUCCGCUGAACGAGGAAAGGCGCAGCCCCGCAAUGAACUUGUGGCUGCUGGCGGAAGGAGCCUCCACUCGAGGGAGCUCUCGAUAAACGAUACUGGGCUACUUAUUUACCGCUGGCCAGACAUCUCGCAAGAAGUUGGGCAGGGUACAUCCACACUUGAGGCCACCGCCGUUACCUGCCGAGCUGUGGUUGCCGCCAUUCACACGGCUGGGCGGACUGAAGCGGGCAUCGCGCGCUUUCAGAUGCGCUUCUGCGGCCGUCUGGAACACCUCUUCCUUCCGAUAUUAGGAAGCCACGGGAGCUAUGCACUUGUAAAUAAUCUAAAUUAAAAACUCAUUUCCUUAGAACUGCUUUUUGUGUUUAGUUUGUUGUCCUUCCCCCCCGCACCUCCGAUUAACACGGUUGGCUACGUACGGUGUGAAAGAAGUUCAUCAUACGUAAGGAUCUUUCCCGACGUAUCAACCGCCACUGGAAAAUCGAACCGGCGACCUCCGGAUUGCAAGUUCAUCGUGAUCACCAUCCCUCAGCCAUAGCAUCAUCCACAGAGGCGCUCGAACAAAGUUAGCAAUGAUUUACGCAGGAGAGCGUGAC